RNAcentral lists this ribosomal RNA (696 nucleotides) under uncultured Synechococcus sp. RNAcentral's name for it is "bacterial SSU rRNA". It matches the Rfam family "Bacterial small subunit ribosomal RNA", at positions 94 to 824 of the family's 1533-position model. Lineage: Bacteria; Bacillati; Cyanobacteriota; Cyanophyceae; Synechococcales; Synechococcaceae. The record is from RNAcentral.
AGUGGCGGACGGGUGAGUAACGCGUGAGAAUCUGCCCUCAGGAGGGGGAUAACGGCUGGAAACGGCCGCUAAUACCCCAUAUGCCGAGAGGUGAAAUGAAUUUCGCCUGAGGAUGAGCUCGCGUCUGAUUAGCUAGUUGGUGGGGUAAGAGCCUACCAAGGCUUCGAUCAGUAGCUGGUCUGAGAGGAUGAUCAGCCACACUGGGACUGAGACACGGCCCAGACUCCUACGGGAGGCAGCAGUGGGGAAUUUUCCGCAAUGGGCGAAAGCCUGACGGAGCAACGCCGCGUGAGGGAUGAAGGCCUCUGGGCUGUAAACCUCUUUUCUCAAGGAAGAAGAUCUGAUGGUACUUGAGGAAUAAGCCACGGCUAAUUCCGUGCCAGCAGCCGCGGUAAUACGGGAGUGGCAAGCGUUAUCCGGAAUUAUUGGGCGUAAAGCGUCCGCAGGCGGCCUCGUAAGUCUGUCGUUAAAGCGUGGAGCUUAACUCCAUUUCAGCGAUGGAAACUGCGAGGCUAGAGUGUGGUAGGGGCAGAGGGAAUUCCCGGUGUAGCGGUGAAAUGCGUAGAUAUCGGGAAGAACACCAGUGGCGAAGGCGCUCUGCUGGGCCAUAACUGACGCUCAUGGACGAAAGCCAGGGGAGCGAAAGGGAUUAGAUACCCCUGUAGUCCUGGCUGUAAACGAUGGACACUAGGUGUC